RNAcentral lists this long non-coding RNA (259 nucleotides) under Elaeis guineensis (African oil palm). RNAcentral describes it as "long non-coding RNA (EGUI_LNC032982)". Lineage: Eukaryota; Viridiplantae; Streptophyta; Magnoliopsida; Arecales; Arecaceae. The record is from RNAcentral.
GGAAGACCUUAAUUCUGCACAAUGUCCAUCACAUUCUCGAGAUUCGAAGGAACCUAAUUAGUGAUUCUUUUUUAGUGCUGCGAGGCUAUAGACUUGUCUUUGAAUGUAAUAAAGUUGUGAUCAUGAGGAGCAUUGUUUUGUUAGGAAAGGAUUUCUAUUUGAUGGAUCGUUUAAACUUAAUGUAUCUUCUUCAUUUUCUAAUAAUAACUCUCAAAUUUUAAAUGUUGAAACUUCUGAUAUCUAGCAUAGUAGGCUUGGA